Molecule: RNA transcript, 4281 nt
Organism: Melospiza melodia melodia
Lineage: Eukaryota; Metazoa; Chordata; Aves; Passeriformes; Passerellidae
Gene name: zinc finger protein 239-like
Exons: 3
Source: RefSeq, a predicted model, not a curated record
GCAGCCGCCUCCGGGCGCUGUUUGCUCCCAGUUCCCUCCCAGUGUUUCCAGUAAGAGCGGCACUGGCAGGGAAAGCGCUCCCAGUUCCAUCCCCCUGCUCUCAGGAUCGCUCCCGGUGCUCCCAGGAUCACUCCCAGUGCCGCGCGGGGCGGUGUUAUUUCGGAACGCGCGCCCAGGACAGAGCGCGGCUGCUUUUGGGGGUCGGCACUGCCCGGGCCGGGGUGGGAGCCGAGGAGGAGCGGGAGGAAGAGGAGGGACAGAGGACGAGGAGGAAGAGGAGGAGCGGAAGGAAGAGGAGCGGCAGAACCACGUUGGUUACCCCGCCGCCUUCUCCCGCCGCUCGGGCCGAAGCUCCCCCGGCUCCUGCUGCAUCGCCCCCUCCAGCAGCCGUAGGAUUUCCCAUUCCCAAAACUUGGCCCGAUGCAGGUGGAGGAGGCUGUGAGGAAGAGGAAGAUGUCCCGAGAGCUUAAUGGAGGAGAAUCCCGAGGGACGUGAGAAUCAUCCGAAACAUGAUAGCCUUGCUAAUACUUUUCUGCAUAUUACCACAAUUUCAUGGACAACCCCCUGGUGAGCAGCUGUGGCCCAAAGCCACCAUUCAGCACACCAAUGUUCUUGGAUCCUAUCCCAAGGGUCAUUUCCCGAGCCUGGCAACCCUAGUACUGCAUGACUCCAAGGUGUACCGCCCGAAUGAGUGGAGAUGGGACCAGAACAAAUUGAUCAGAACCCUGAUGGGAACGGUUGGUGAGUCAAUUGUGGUAGAAAGGUGGAAGGAACUCUCCAUGAAAAGGCCACCUCCAUCAUAAUUGCUGGAAAUUUUAUGGAAACAGGUGGAAGGAAUCAUCUGGACAUCCCUUCAGCAAAAUUAUGUCCCACGAAGAAAUGGGGAAGUUCCAAAAUAAAAAGUCCCCUCGCUCUGCGUUGUCGCCAGGAACAUAUUGGUAGUUAUGCUUUAGGUCCCAAAACUAACCAUGUUGCAAUUACAAGAGGUUGUAAUGAUGAAUCACUUGAUUGCUGGUACAGUUUUACUUUGGUCAAACCUACUUACGUGACAUGUUGUUGGCAGAAUGACACAGCUAGUCCAUUCGGAUUAAGAGGCUUGGUUUACACAUUUAAGAUAAACACUGUACCAAAACCCACACCAAGUGCUGUAAUUACGCUCUCUCAAAUGCAAGGUGUGAAGCCCUUUUCUAAUACAUCUCAAAGGGCAGACACUGCAAGGCCUGCACUGAGCACGGUAAACACGGCAAUCACACCCCAAUUGGCAGAGGCAACAAAAAGCCCCUUUACAUGGCCCUGGUCUCAAGCCUUCCUGCAAUUUACCGGAUCUAUGGGAUAUGUCACGGGUCUAAACUUACUAAAAGUAGUUACACAUGAAGACAAGUUGUAUACUACAUGAGAAUGGGAGAAACAGAAAACCUGGCAGCUUCAAGGAGUAGUGGGAGAACAAAUUAGCAUUGGGUGUUGAACGGUUAAUGGGUCUGACUAUAGCAAAGCAAUUGCAAUCAGUGUUUCCACAGAUCAGGAAAACAAACAGGAGCAAGUCUGUACGCACCCAAGCAUUUGAGACUGCUGGCACAGUUUUACAUUAACUCACACUGCGGAGGUAGUUUGCCUCUGGUCCAAGGAUACUCAAGACCUUUCUUUUAAAUUUGUAAUAAAUGCUGAAACCUACUUUACCACUGUCACUACUUCACCCGUACCACCGGUCAUACUCAUCCCAAGAAUUUUCAAGAUUGGACCUUAUAUAAUCAGGAAAACUGGCCAACAACAAAUAUUGUUCAAUCCAGCAUGGUCUCCCAAACAGGUCAAAUUGCUAAUGCAGAGCAAUGUUUCAGAUAUUCAGCCAGCUUGUUCUCCAUUUCUGCAAACUUUUUUUGAAGGUUGGACCACUUGGCUUCGGAAAUGAAGCUCUUUUAAAAUUAGAACACCAAGGGACGUGACCAGCGUUGUGGGUACAGGAUUGGGAAUUCUGAAUAGCAUUGAUUCUGAAGUACUAAUGAACAAAUUGGCUGCUACAACUAGAGAUCUGACCAAAUUACAGCAACCACUGAGGUCAUCUCUGUUACCCUUGGGAACACACCAGUGGCUGCUGUCAAACAUUUUGCCAAAUUGGGAAAGAGUGAAUGUGAAUGAUCACAAAUUGGUGAUUGAUUCACUUGGUGCUACACAAAACAGUGUUUCCUUAGCCCUCAGCUGUAUCCAGGCACAAUUAUGGAUGCAGUCAGUCUCUGCUUCAAUUAUAAGAGAAGGCGAGGAAGGCACUUUCCCCACAGAAAUUCAGAAAAUAAUCUGGGACAGUGCCACUGAGUUUGAAAGAGAAUUCCAAUCCUGGUGGAAUCUGGUGAACUUUACUUAUGAUCCCAUUUCAAACACAGCCACUGCUUUUGUUUAAACCAUACGCAAUGCUUCUGUACAUUUGGUCUUCCCUGUUCUUGCAUUAGGAUUAAACCAUGACGGAGCUGUUCUCUAUCCCACAGAACAUAGGGGAUGGGCCCGUCAGGUCAAUGACGAAUGGCAAACUGUUAAUCUGGAAUCUUGUAUUGUCCGAGAACAACAAGGGUUCAUCUGUGAAAGCAAUGUAAUCGUAGCUCAGGAUAUCUGUUUAGACACAGAGCAAAACAUCUGUCAUUUUGAGAUUUGUCCUAAUGAGGCUACUGAAACAGUUCUUAUAUACAUAGGCAAUGGAUGUGCAUGCUUUAGAACCAUUUGUGAUUUUGUGUUUGUAAGAAGAUGUUGUGGUAGACACAAAGAACCACUCAAACUUUUGUGCUUGUAACUUUACUAAGAUUAUAGGAUGUGAUUUCUCUUAUGAAGCUCCAGUUACCUCUCACUACCUAUUGCAAUCCAACUACACACUGAUUCACAAGCUGAUGUCCACUCCUAUCGGAAUGAACCUUACCCUGGUGAGACAACUGCUGCUCCAUCAGGAGCUGGUUGAAAUUCUUGAGAACAAAUACACCAGGUUAUGGAGAGGGUAAAGCAAGAUGCUGAGCAUAGGUGGUGGGAUACUGUCUUUGGGUGGUCACCUACAGCCACAGAUGUCCUGAACAGUGUGUGCCACCCAAUUGUUGUUCUUUUGAUUCUAAUUACACUUGGUUAUAACUUGUCAGCAGCCCUAUUCGUUAUGAAAUGGAACACGAUGAAAAGGCUAAGGAGAUUGAUGUCUGUAGCCAAUGCACACCGCUUAGCCGAUGUCCUCUACACUAUAGAUGCCCCCAAAACAUUUGACACAAAACAAUUACGAAUUGAGCAUAUGUGCUUUAGAGCAAUUUUUGAUUCUCAAGUAUGAUUUACAGAAGGUUAUUUUGAUCUUUAGUAGAUUAUUUUAGAAAAUAAUUUUUAAAAGACAAUGCUUAUAUUAUGAUUUGUUUGUUGUUUUUGUUUUGAAAAUUUGUGAUUUGUUUCAACCAUUUUUUGAAAUUGUUAUACAAAUGAUAUUGCUUUAAUUAAUUAGCCUUUUUUUGAAAUUAUUAUAAUUAGCCAUUUUUGAAAUUGUUAUUAAAGAAUAACCAUGUGUGAAAAUUGCUAUGAUAAUCAAUAUUAAUUAUGUUUGCUUACUGCUUCUCUUUCCCCUAUCUUUUUCUUUUCUUUUCCCUCUCUCUUCUUUUUAUCCUCCUCUUUUCUGUCAUCCCUUUUUUUUCCGGGUUAUGCUACCAACAUGCAAUGAGUUCCGAAGAUUCAUCAACGACACUCCAGAGUUCUGCUGAUGAAGAUCCCUCAAGACAAUCGUGAGUCACGGGGUCGUGUGAGAUUCUGUCCGAAAUGUCCUUCAUUUUUGCCUCACAAUUGUCAUGAAGAAAAGACAACCGAAAAGUUAAAAACUGUUGAGCCAGUGGGAAGGGGAGGUCAGGUGCUUCUCAGAUCACUGUUUCCACAGGUGUUGUUUGCAGAACACGCCAUGCUGAACUUUGUGGAGAGCUUUGUCAAAGAGUGGCUUGAGGAGAGAGGACACAGCCGAAUUAAUUUGGUAAAGAUGUCCUAACUAGGGCAGAGGCCUUUUUGCAGGCAGGGUGUCUGUUGAGAAGGUAGCUGAAUAGAGAAUGGAAAAGUACAAGACCGUGGCUAAUUCCAAAUCUUGCAGGUGCAAGACAAUGUGUCCUUGGGCCUAAUGGAGUAUGAUAAAGAAAUGGACAGCGAGGCGUGAGAAGUAGAGAACGUAGGCCCAAAGGAAUGUGGAUGAGUUAAUGGUAUAGUUUAACCAAUAGAUUGCUUGGCUUACAGAAUAUUCAUAAGCUUAUUAUUUGCUGUAUAAGUGUUUGAUGCUUUCUUUAAUAAACUGAA